This 253-nucleotide ribosomal RNA is filed under the name uncultured bacterium. RNAcentral describes it as "partial 16S ribosomal RNA". It matches the Rfam family "Bacterial small subunit ribosomal RNA", at positions 524 to 776 of the family's 1533-position model. The record is from RNAcentral.
GACAGAGGGUGCAAACGUUGCUCGGAAUUACUGGGCGUAAAGCGCGUGUAGGCUGACCGGAAAGUCGGGCGUGAAAUCCCUGGGCCCAACCCAGGAACUGCACUCGAAACUCCCGGUCUUGAGUGGUGGAGAGGGAAGUGGAAUUCCUGGUGUAGAGGUGAAAUUCGUAGAUAUCAGGAGGAACACCAGUGGCGAAGGCGGCUUCCUGGACACCAACUGACGCUGAGACGCGAAAGCGUGGGGAGCAAACAGG